GAUGAACGCUGGCGGCGUGCCUAAUACAUGCAAGUCGAGCGAACAGAUGAGGAGCUUGCUCUUCUGACGUUAGCGGCGGACGGGUGAGUAACACGUGGAUAACCUACCUAUAAGACUGGGAUAACUUCGGGAAACCGGAGCUAAUACCGGAUAAUAUAUCGAACCGCAUGGUUCAAUAGUGAAAGACGGCUUUGCUGUCACUUAUAGAUGGAUCCGCGCCGCAUUAGCUAGUUGGUAAGGUAACGGCUUACCAAGGCAACGAUGCGUAGCCGACCUGAGAGGGUGAUCAGCCACACUGGAACUGAGACACGGUCCAGACUCCUACGGGAGGCAGCAGUAGGGAAUCUUCCGCAAUGGGCGAAAGCCUGACGGAGCAACGCCGCGUGAGUGAUGAAGGUCUUCGGAUCGUAAAACUCUGUUGUUAGGGAAGAACAAAUGUGUAAGUAACUAUGCACGUCUUGACGGUACCUAAUCAGAAAGCCACGGCUAACUACGUG
Molecule: ribosomal RNA, 497 nt
Filed under: uncultured bacterium
Lineage: Bacteria
Description: partial 16S ribosomal RNA
Rfam family: Bacterial small subunit ribosomal RNA
Source: RNAcentral